This 497-nucleotide ribosomal RNA is filed under the name uncultured bacterium. RNAcentral describes it as "partial 16S ribosomal RNA". It matches the Rfam family "Bacterial small subunit ribosomal RNA", at positions 28 to 507 of the family's 1533-position model. The record is from RNAcentral.
GACGAACGCUGGCGGCGGGCCUAAUACAUGCAAGUCAAGCGGUGAAGGGGGGUAUUCGUACGGAUUGGGUGAGGGGCGGACGGGUGAGUAACGCGUGUGGAAUCGGCCGUGGAGGGGGGGGCAAGAUAAGGAAAGGAAUGCUAAUACCGCAUAAGAGGUUGAAAGACAGGGUUUAUGGGUGAAAGAGGCAAUUGCAUCACCUAAGUAGGAUCCCCCGGUGUAUUAGCUAGAUGGUGAGGUAAAGGCCCACCAAGGCGAUGAUACAUAGCCGGCCUGAGAGGGUGGACGGCCACAUUGGGACUGGGACAACGCCCAAACUCCUACGGGAGGCAGCCGUAGGGGAACAUUGGCAAUGGAGGAAAGUCUGAACGCAGCACGCCGCGUGGGUGGAGAAGGUUUUCGGGACGUUAAACUCUGUUAGUAGAGAAGGAAGGUGAUGAGGGUAAAACGCUCAUGAAGUGACGGUAACUACACAGAAAGCGCCGGCUAACUACGUG